GGGGUAGCCAAGCCUGGUCAACGGCGCAGGACUUAAGAUCCUGUGGAGAAGUCCUUCGUGGGUUCGAAUCCCAUCCCC
This 78-nucleotide transfer RNA is filed under the name Thermoplasmatales archaeon. RNAcentral describes it as "tRNA-Leu". It matches the Rfam family "tRNA". Rfam says of the family: Transfer RNA (tRNA) molecules are approximately 80 nucleotides in length. The record is from RNAcentral. Lineage: Archaea; Methanobacteriati; Thermoplasmatota; Thermoplasmata; Thermoplasmatales.